Molecule: transfer RNA, 60 nt
Filed under: Acidobacteriota bacterium
Lineage: Bacteria; Pseudomonadati; Acidobacteriota
Description: Acidobacteria bacterium tRNA-Pro
Rfam family: tRNA
About the family: Transfer RNA (tRNA) molecules are approximately 80 nucleotides in length. Their secondary structure includes four short double-helical elements and three loops (D, anti-codon, and T loops). Further hydrogen bonds mediate the characteristic L-shaped molecular structure. tRNAs have two regions of fundamental functional importance: the anti-codon, which is responsible for specific mRNA codon recognition, and the 3' end, to which the tRNAs corresponding amino acid is attached (by aminoacyl-tRNA synthetases). tRNAs cope with the degeneracy of the genetic code in two manners: having more than one tRNA (with a specific anti-codon) for a particular amino acid; and 'wobble' base-pairing, i.e. permitting non-standard base-pairing at the 3rd anti-codon position.
Source: RNAcentral
UAGCGCAGCCUGGUUAGCGCACCUGACUGGGGGUCAGGGGGUCGCUGGUUCGAAUCCAGU